This is a long non-coding RNA of Oncorhynchus tshawytscha (Chinook salmon), 339 nucleotides long. NCBI's taxonomy places the organism in Eukaryota, Metazoa, Chordata, Actinopteri, Salmoniformes, Salmonidae. The record is from Ensembl.
CCAAGAAUGAUCUAGGAAGAGGGGAAAGAAAUAAGAGAAAGGUGUCUGUGUGAAGUGGAGAUGAGGAGGCAGAAAAGGAGAGAGAGAGAGGAGAGGACUAGAGAAGACUGGAGUUAGGCUGCAACACGAGAGGCAAAGCAACGAGGAGAGGGAGAAAGAAGAGAGCAACAGGGAUCGAGGUGGAAUCGGGCCGAAAACGCAGGAAAAGGAGGGAAAAAUUGCCAGACUCAUCCGACCUCUGCUGUGUGGGGACCGGACCCGUCACCUGACUGCCCUCUCCUGUCUUCCUGGUCCUCAGCAGAACAGCCAUGAGGUAGAGUCGGACAUUUUGGAAAAUUG